This 1403-nucleotide long non-coding RNA is filed under the name Numida meleagris (helmeted guineafowl). RNAcentral's name for it is "lncRNA (ENSNMEG00000021976.1)". Lineage: Eukaryota; Metazoa; Chordata; Aves; Galliformes; Numididae. The record is from RNAcentral.
AUUACUGGCCUUUUUCUUGGAUUUCCUUAUGGUAGGUGAGCCACUGGUCUUUCACAGUCAUCAAAUACAUGCCAUAAAAUAUUUUUGUCAGUACUGGAAACUUUUCAUGUUAUUAUUGUACAAUAAUGAGAAUGUCUGGUGUAUUUGACUUAAAGCCUUGUUUGCAUACCAUGAAUUUACAUGCAUUCUAUUUACAUCUAUUUUGUUUCAUCCUUCAUAACUGCUUUAUUUCAUAACUCUUCUUCAGGAAGGCUUUUGAAGGGCUUGAGAUGCUGUCUUUAGUUAAAGCAAAUCUCGCUUUAGAUAAAUAGGAUUUAUUAUUCCUUUCAAAUUUAAUUACUUUGCAAAAUCAUGAUCAAUUUCCUGCCCUGCUUGCUUGAGGGGAGUAACACUUUUGGAGACCCUUAUGCAUUUGCUUUGUAAUAAGCCUUUCUUCAUAUUCUUUAUGCUAUACAAUCAGCUCCCCCCUCAACACCAGUGUCAGUGCCUGUGUGUAUGGCUGCAGUCGGAGGCCUGCAGAUUGGAAUGCUGAUGAUGGGACGCAGAAGUGCUGAGGAAUGAAUGUGUGCAUGGGAGAUUUUCACAGCUGGACUUCCUCAAGUGGACCACAUGGAAGGAAUGGGCUUUUCAUUUUUUCCACAAAAGAAAUGGAGAAAAAUGGAAAAUUCUACUUAAAAAUAUGGAGAAAACAGAGAAAUCCAUAUUCAAAGAUCUAUUCUUGAACAUAGGAAAAGUUCAAGUCCUGAACACAAGGUACCUUUUAGACACUCAGAUUUGAAGUACAACUAAAUAUUCAUAAAUAAUGAAAAACAAAUAUUAACAACAUUGGAUUCAAUUACAUUUCCAUUGGGCUUUUUUGUCUCACAGACUGUAGUGUCUUAACUGAGGCAGUAAAGACUAUCAAAAAAACUUGACUUUUAAUCUUUCUUGAAUCUCUCCUAUAAUGUUCUUGAAGCAGAAGUCAAGUGAGGGCUUCAGAGAAUCUAAGGAUAGAAAGCAACAAUUUGUCAAUAACAGUUUUUUUUUUUCCUUCUGUGCUUUUUAUAUUCACUGAAAGUGUUCACAAGUUGAAUUUUGUAUCUGUUGAACUAUCUUCUAUCAUUUCCUUUUGGCUAAAGGAGUGCACUCUGACAGGAAGCUUUUCCUGUUGACUUGAUCUAAAUUUAAAUUACUGCAUACCUCAAACCAUGAGAUGUGCUUUCCCAAAUGUCUGACAUUUGAGUCCAGGAAUAGGGCGGCACAUCUGUGAAACUGGAUGAAGAGUUUUGCUCUCUGCAGAAGGAUAAGGAUUGCUAAACUCUAAAUGCCCAUUUGAAAAGUAUGCCAGCUUCAAAGGAGCAAACAUUUCUGCAGAAGGAUUGUACAGAAAUAAACAUUAAAGUUCGAAUAGACUUACUAAUACA